UACGGAGGGUGCAAGCGUUAUCCGGAUUUACUGGGUUUAAAGGGUGCGUAGGCGGGCUAAUAAGUCAGUGGUGAAAGCCUGUAGCUUAACUACAGAACUGCCAUUGAAACUGUUGGCCUUGAGUAUAGAUGAAGUGGGCGGAAUGUAGCGUGUAGCGGUGAAAUGCUUAGAUAUGCUACAGAACACCAAUUGCGAAGGCAGCUUGCUAAACUAUCACUGACGCUGAGGCACGAAAGCGUGGGGAGCGAAC
RNAcentral lists this ribosomal RNA (250 nucleotides) under uncultured bacterium. RNAcentral describes it as "partial 16S ribosomal RNA". It matches the Rfam family "Bacterial small subunit ribosomal RNA", at positions 524 to 773 of the family's 1533-position model. The record is from RNAcentral.